GGAGUCUUCUCAUGAUAUCGGCUUUGGGAGACACCUUGCGCAAGUAACUCCUUCACCCUGCCAGCAGAAUAGAGUUCAGCAAGGCAACCAUGCGCUUCUGCAACAAGUGCCAUCCUGAACGCACAGAGCCCAAGUUGAGCCAUCGCUCUGUUAAAAAGUAUCUGAGUUGAAAUGUCCAUGUGCUGGAUAUUUUCCUGCAAGUGACUCAUCAAUAACAAGUCACGGGAUGUUGAAAACUCAUCCAAGAUAGCAUGGUGAUAUAUAUCACAGAGCAUUGCACGGGCCUUGGUUCGUUCAUCUCCAUAUUUAUAUAUGAGAGAAACGAGACUGUCCAUCAAUGUCCUGCUGUUCUCUUCAAAAGCAGGUUUCCUGGGCACAAGUUCAGGAGUUGCAAUAAAUGCAGAUGGACCUCUACUCUCCUCAACCACUUUGUUUUCUUCUACAGACUCUGCUUCUCCACCUUCUGUGAGCUCAGCCAAUUUCCU
This 485-nucleotide unclassified non-coding RNA is filed under the name Hevea brasiliensis (rubber tree). The record is from RNAcentral. Lineage: Eukaryota; Viridiplantae; Streptophyta; Magnoliopsida; Malpighiales; Euphorbiaceae.